GUCUUCGUGGUGUAACGGUUAGCACACUCAGAGCGUAUUCGAGAGGUCCAGGUUCGAGUCCUGCCAAGGGCA
Molecule: transfer RNA, 72 nt
Filed under: Stegodyphus mimosarum
Lineage: Eukaryota; Metazoa; Arthropoda; Arachnida; Araneae; Eresidae
Rfam family: tRNA
About the family: Transfer RNA (tRNA) molecules are approximately 80 nucleotides in length.
Source: Rfam by way of RNAcentral